Molecule: transfer RNA, 69 nt
Filed under: Marmota monax (woodchuck)
Lineage: Eukaryota; Metazoa; Chordata; Mammalia; Rodentia; Sciuridae
Description: tRNA.Ala
Source: RNAcentral
GGGGUUGUGGCUCAGCGGUAGAGUACUCUUCUAGCACAUGCGAGGCGCUGGGUUCAAUCGUCAGCACCA